GCUGGGCAUGGUGGUGGGUGCCUGUAAUCCCAGCUACUUGGGAGGCUGAGGCAGGAGAAUCGCUUGAACCCAGGAGGCUGAGGCUGCAGUGAGCAGAGAUUGCACCACUGUGCUCCAGCCUGGGCAAUAGAGCGAGACUCUGUCUCAU
RNAcentral lists this signal recognition particle RNA (148 nucleotides) under Chlorocebus sabaeus (green monkey). RNAcentral describes it as "Metazoan signal recognition particle RNA". It matches the Rfam family "Metazoan signal recognition particle RNA". Rfam says of the family: The signal recognition particle (SRP) is a universally conserved ribonucleoprotein. It is involved in the co-translational targeting of proteins to membranes. The eukaryotic SRP consists of a 300-nucleotide 7S RNA and six proteins: SRPs 72, 68, 54, 19, 14, and 9. The record is from Rfam by way of RNAcentral. Lineage: Eukaryota; Metazoa; Chordata; Mammalia; Primates; Cercopithecidae.